Molecule: RNA transcript, 2800 nt
Organism: Lucilia sericata (common green bottle fly)
Lineage: Eukaryota; Metazoa; Arthropoda; Insecta; Diptera; Calliphoridae
Gene name: E3 ubiquitin-protein ligase Arkadia
Exons: 5
Source: RefSeq, a predicted model, not a curated record
UUCCAGAUAAUUUAUUUAAUCUUCUUAUGAAAUUCUAUGAAACUUGGAACAACAAGGCGGUAGUAAACAAGUAAAUAAUUUGUUUAUUCAAAUAAAAUAAUGCUGUUAAGUGUCUUCAACACAAAAUUGACAAUUUAAGGACAAGUAAACGUUUAUCCUAGCCAUAAAAGGAUAUAAGUUGAUUUAAUAGUUUUCUCAACUGUCGUAAUAUAUAUAUUAAUACUUAAUCAAACUGGCUCACAUGGCUAUGCAUCAUAAUACCAUGUUUCCGGGUACGGCAACAAAGUUUCAAACUCGACCAGCGUCACCCCAAUUUGCCAGUUUUUCGCCGCCCUCCGAUUAUCCACAUGUUCAGGCUCAAGCAACGGUACAUUUGCAUAAUCAACAACAGCAGCAGCAAAAACACCUUCAACAGCAACAACAACUACAACAAAUGCAACAACAUCAUCUGCCUCAGCAACAACAAUAUCCAUCUCAUGGUAUGUCCAUGCGUCAUCCCGGCAAAAGCAUGAAUGCCGGCAGUAGUAUUAAAUCUCGUUCAAAUUCUUCAUCCGCCCAUCAUAUGGUGAAUUCAAAUACUAUGACGGGUGGCAUGUUGGCUGCAAUGUCGAGUGGUGGUAGUUUGGGCCAUCAUCGUGGUGAUUUAAUAUUUCCCGACGAAAUGGAUAGUAUAGAAUUUUGUAUGCCUCCAGCACCUGGACCUUCGAAUGGCAUGGGUCAUGGUGUAAGCAGUGAAAUGUUGCUGGUACAUGGCAAGAAUGGCCUGUGUACGGGUGAAGCCUUUACAGAGAGACGAAGAAGGGGACACAGUAGGCGUAGCAAUCAUAAAAUGGAUGUAGAACAGCAGGUAAAAUGGUCUCGUAAAAAUAUUGCUGCCACCAUGGAACGUUUCGAGCCCACGCAACAUCAUUCCUCUUCAUCGACUUCUUCGCUUGAAUAUGGUUUUGCUGCCAGCGUUGUAACACCUUCAUCGACACCAUCACACCAUUCGCAGCAGCAAAUUUCACCUGCACCCUCACAAACUUAUCAAGGUGGAGCUGCAGCAGCAGCAUCGAGUAAUUCUGCUGGUCCUUCGGGUUCUACACCCUACAAUCAUGUUUACUCUUAUGCUUACUAUGAACCAGGCGCUGCAAAAUGUCACAUAAAUAUACCGCAAAAGGAUGAAGCUUCUGCUAUUGUACCAGCCCCUUUGAUAAGUGCCGCGCCUCCCUCUAAAAGUCCAACCCGCAAUUCCAUUAGAGCAUUACUGGCUAAAAGUUUUCGUUCAAAAUCGAAUAGUGGCCAAUCAACAUCUUCUUCGCCCAGCGGCACUGAUGAGAGACACACCUAUACUACUCGUUAUGGUACAACUGAAAAUCUAUACGAGGAGGUUAAUGAUCAGAAGAUACGUAAAGUCUUGUCCGAUAAUCGCAUAGCGACAUCCAAUGUUAAGGAAGAGCUUAGAAGAGUUCAGCACAAUCACUUUCGGGUAUUGGAUGAAUUGAAUUUGUCAUUGGAAGCUUUGAUUAUGCCUGAAACCCCACCCGAUAUAAGUCCAAAUCAGGUGGAAGAUGAUGACGGCCCAUCCACUAGUGCUGCAGCGGCGGCAGUAGCAGCGGCAACAUCUAGGGCCUCUGUAUCAUCUGGUUCUCAUAGAGGACCACGUCGCGGAGGUUUGUUGGGAGGUGCCGCUUCCUCUUCUUCAUCCACAGUGUCUUCUUCACAGCAGCGUACCUUAUCUCACGCCAGCCUAGAAAAUCUUUCUUCAACUCUAAACUCCAUCGAACUGAAGGAUCACACCCACAGUUCUUGUAUAAAUCCUGAGUUUGAUGAGGGUGACCUCGAUAGUGGCUUCAGCGGUAGUGGCAGUAGCAGUGGUGCGAGUUAUAAUGAAAGUCUGCGCUAUUAUAAAACAGGUCCAACGCCAAGUCAUCAGCAUCACAACCACCACGCCCAACAGCAUCAACUGCACCAGCAUGCUGGUCAGCAUCAUCUUAUACAACCCACCACUUUACCCCACAAUAUGCGUAGUUGUCGAUCAUCAACUGCAUCCGGUACAUCGACUUCCAAAAGUAGUAUGGUUUCAUCCGAGGAUCAGGGUAUUGGCAUGAUGACUUCUUUGGGUAGCUGUGGAACAGCUGUUACCUCACCAGCAAAUGGUCAUUUACUAGCGUCGCCCUUUAACUUUGCCCGCCGUAGCUCCGACACACAGCGGGCGUCCGGCCGCUCAGCCUCUGAUUCCUCUGCGACGGGUGCUAAACCGAAAAAAAACUUUUGGAAACUAAAACCGUGAUGCUGUAAAAAGGCUUUACGUAAACUCUGCAAAAAAUGGAGUAUAGUGGUGGAAUACAAUGCUAAGACUGCCUCAUGUCAUAUUAUACAAUAUAGAAAAUGUGCGAAUUAUAUUUUAUCAUCCUCAACCUGUUACAACCUAUUGAAUGCCAUGGAAGAAUGUCGUCGUCCAAUAUUUCAUGAACAUUAUGAUUGAUGGUGGUUUAUUUAUAUAAUUAUUCUUUCGAUCUUCUAAAAUCACUUUUUUAUACUAACAAACGGAACGUCCUUCUCAAAUAAAUAGAAAAAUCCAGAAAAACUGAAAAAUAGAUUAAAAAAAAAAAACGCAGCACACAAAUUCCAACUACAAUAAUAAAUAUUUGCAUAAAUGUAUUUUGGCACCAUUACAGCACAAACAACAGAAUUAAAUUCAAUUUUAUAGAAAACAGUAAAAAGCAAAAAAAAAAAACUACAAACAAUUUAAAAAUAUUAAAACACAAAAUUAACCUGAAAAUUGUAACUGCCCCUUAAAAAACAGGAUGCACAAAAC